RNAcentral lists this long non-coding RNA (296 nucleotides) under Elaeis guineensis (African oil palm). Its description in RNAcentral is "long non-coding RNA (EGUI_LNC053424)". Lineage: Eukaryota; Viridiplantae; Streptophyta; Magnoliopsida; Arecales; Arecaceae. The record is from RNAcentral.
AUCGAAGAAACCGAUGUAGCAGGAUCCGCUCACCAUCACCAUAUCGCCAACUCAAGCAAAGCGCCAAAUCCAUAUAAACUUCUCCUUCGUCACGCUAAGUAAUAGUGAGUUAAUCUCACGGGAGAGUGACUGGAUCUUUGCAAGAUCCUUUCAUUGACGGUUCACGCGGCGAGACGCGCCGACACGCCAAGUUCGUCGUUCGGACACGUGAAACGGGUAGCUCCCAAUUUCUACAAAUCAAGCAAAAAUUAAACGAAAAAGACAAAUAAAUAAGAACCGCCCGAUUUCGAUGGACC